UGGGGAAUAUUGCACAAUGGGCGAAAGCCUGAUGCAGCGACGCCGCGUGAGGGAUGACGGCCUUCGGGUUGUAAACCUCUUUCAGCAGGGAAGAAGCGAAAGUGACGGUACCUGCAGAAGAAGCGCCGGCUAACUACGUGCCAGCAGCCGCGGUAAUACGUAGGGCGCAAGCGUUGUCCGGAAUUAUUGGGCGUAAAGAGCUCGUAGGCGGUUAGUCGCGUCUGCUGUGAAAACUCGAGGCUCAACCUCGGGCUUGCAGUGGGUACGGGCUGACUAGAGUGCGGUAGGGGUGACUGGAAUUCCUGGUGUAGCGGCGGAAUGCGCAGAUAUCAGGAGGAACACCGAUGGCGAAGGCAGGUCACUGGGCCGCAACUGACGCUGAGGAGCGAAAGCAUGGGGAGCGAACAGGAUUAGAUAGCCCUGGUAGUCCAUGCCGUAAACGUUGGGCACUAGGUGUGGGGUCCAUUCCACGGAUUCCGUGCCGCAGCAAACGCAUUAAGUGCCCCAGCCUGGGGAGUACGGCCGCAAGGCUAAAACUCAAAGGAAUUGACGGGGUCAUAGCUGUUUCC
Molecule: ribosomal RNA, 569 nt
Filed under: uncultured bacterium
Lineage: Bacteria
Description: partial 16S ribosomal RNA
Rfam family: Bacterial small subunit ribosomal RNA
Source: RNAcentral